RNAcentral lists this ribosomal RNA (428 nucleotides) under Ischnocnema aff. guentheri 4 MG-2013. Its description in RNAcentral is "partial 16S ribosomal RNA". It matches the Rfam family "Bacterial large subunit ribosomal RNA", at positions 1849 to 2491 of the family's 2925-position model. The record is from RNAcentral. Lineage: Eukaryota; Metazoa; Chordata; Amphibia; Anura; Brachycephalidae.
GAGGUCCGACCUGCCCAGUGAUAUUAAUUCAACGGCCGCGGUAUUCUGACCGUGCUAAGGUAGCACAAUCACUUGUCUCUUAAAUGGGGACUAGUAUGAAAGGCCCCACGAGGGUCUAACUGUCUCCUUUUUUUAAUCUGUGAAACUAAUCUCCCCGUGAAGAAGCGGGGAUUAUUGUAUAAGACGAGAAGACCCUAUGGAGCUUUAGAUGAAACAAUAUAUUCCCCCCCCCCCAUUUCAGAAAUCACUACCAGGGAAUUUUAUUGCUAGUCUUUGGUUGGGGCGGCCGCGGAGAAAAACUUAUCCUCCACGAUGAGUGGGAACUUCCCAUAAUGAAGAGCCACAGCUCAAUGUAUCAAAAAAUUGACAAUUGACCCAAUAUUUGAUCAACGAAACAAGUUACCCUAGGGAUAACAGCGCAAUCUACU